RNAcentral lists this transfer RNA (64 nucleotides) under Scelimena melli. Its description in RNAcentral is "tRNA-Leu". It matches the Rfam family "tRNA". Rfam says of the family: Transfer RNA (tRNA) molecules are approximately 80 nucleotides in length. Their secondary structure includes four short double-helical elements and three loops (D, anti-codon, and T loops). The record is from RNAcentral. Lineage: Eukaryota; Metazoa; Arthropoda; Insecta; Orthoptera; Tetrigidae.
UCUAAUAUGGCAGAAUAAUGCAAUGAACUUAAGAUUCAAAGAUAAAGAAAAUCUUUUGUUAGAA